GCGGAUGGAGGGGCAGUACGGCACUGUUCCCCAGGGCCCGCGAACAAACGUUGCCAGGGGCAAUUGAAUGACUUAACUGGAGUCAUGCAAAUGGAAGGCACAGGAUUUGAGCCCAUCGCAAACCCAGCAGGACCAGUGAGGCACAGCGUCCCUCUGAGCAGCCAGCAGGCGCCUGGGCCUGGAGGGGCUGCACCCUCACACCCCCUCACAUCCCUGGGAA
This 220-nucleotide long non-coding RNA is filed under the name Homo sapiens (human). Its description in RNAcentral is "HSALNT0121185". The record is from RNAcentral. Lineage: Eukaryota; Metazoa; Chordata; Mammalia; Primates; Hominidae.